CAGCAUCGCUAGGGGUCCUGUGCGCUGUGUUGUGGUGUCCAUAUCCAGUCUGAUUGUGGAAUGUUGCCGCUUCAUGUUGCACGGGUGAGAAAUACCCUUGGAACCUGACCCGGUUAAUCCCGGCGUAGGGAAGCGUCAUCUGCUUGGU
Molecule: non-coding RNA, 148 nt
Filed under: Aquitalea magnusonii
Lineage: Bacteria; Pseudomonadati; Pseudomonadota; Betaproteobacteria; Neisseriales; Chromobacteriaceae
Description: TPP sequence
Rfam family: TPP riboswitch aptamer (THI element)
About the family: Vitamin B(1) in its active form thiamin pyrophosphate (TPP) is an essential coenzyme that is synthesised by coupling of pyrimidine and thiazole moieties in bacteria.
Source: RNAcentral